RNAcentral lists this ribosomal RNA (497 nucleotides) under uncultured bacterium. Its description in RNAcentral is "partial 16S ribosomal RNA". It matches the Rfam family "Bacterial small subunit ribosomal RNA", at positions 28 to 507 of the family's 1533-position model. The record is from RNAcentral.
GAUGAACGCUGGCGGCGUGCCUAAUACAUGCAAGUCGAGCGAACGGACGAGAAGCUUGCUUCUCUGAUGUUAGCGGCGGACGGGUGAGUAACACGUGGAUACCCUACCUAUAAGACUGGGAUAACUUCGGGAAACCGGAGCUAAUACCGGAUAAUAUUUUGAACCGCAUGGUUCAAAAGUGAAAGACGGUCUUGCUGUCACUUAUAGAUGUAUCCGCGCUGCAUUAGCUAGUUGGUAAGGUAACGGCUUACCAAGGCAACGAUGCAUAGCCGACCUGAGAGGGUGAUCGGCCACACUGGAACUGAGACACGGUCCAGACUCCUACGGGAGGCAGCAGUAGGGAAUCUUCGGCAAUGGGCGAAAGCCUGACGGAGCAACGCCGCGUGAGUGAUGAAGGUCUUCGGAUCGUAAAACUCUGUUAUUAGGGAAGAACAGAUGUGUAAGUAACUGUGCACAUCUUGACGGUACCUAAUCAGAAAGCCACGGCUAACUACGUG